RNAcentral lists this ribosomal RNA (463 nucleotides) under uncultured bacterium. RNAcentral describes it as "partial 16S ribosomal RNA". It matches the Rfam family "Bacterial small subunit ribosomal RNA", at positions 28 to 507 of the family's 1533-position model. The record is from RNAcentral.
GACGAACGCUGGCGGCGUGCUUAACACAUGCAAGUUGAGCGGAAAGGCCACUUCGGUGGUACUCGAGCGGCGAACGGGUGAGUAACACGUGAGUAAUCUGCCCCUCACUUUGGGAUAGCCACCGGAAACGGUGAUUAAUACCGGAUAUGACCAUAUGUCGCAUGGCGUGUGGUGGAAAGUUUUUCGGUGAGGGAUGUGCUCGCGGCCUAUCAGCUUGAUGGUGAGGUAAUGGCUCACCAUGGCUUCGACGGGUAGCCGGCCUGAGAGGGUGACCGGUCACACUGGGACUGAGACACGGCCCAGACUCCUACGGGAGGCAGCAGUGGGGAAUAUUGGACAAUGGGCGGAAGCCUGAUCCAGCAACGCCGCGUGAGGGAUGACGGCCUUCGGGUUGUAAACCUCUUUCAGUACCGACGAAGCGCAAGUGACGGUAGGUACAGAAGAAGCACCGGCCAACUACGUG